Molecule: ribosomal RNA, 1511 nt
Filed under: Lacticaseibacillus casei
Lineage: Bacteria; Bacillati; Bacillota; Bacilli; Lactobacillales; Lactobacillaceae
Description: bacterial SSU rRNA
Rfam family: Bacterial small subunit ribosomal RNA
Source: RNAcentral
CGGCAGUGCGGCUGCUAUACAUGCAGUCGAACGAGUUCUCGUUGAUGAUCGGUGCUUGCACCGAGAUUCAACAUGGAACGAGUGGCGGACGGGUGAGUAACACGUGGGUAACCUGCCCUUAAGUGGGGGAUAACAUUUGGAAACAGAUGCUAAUACCGCAUAGAUCCAAGAACCGCAUGGUUCUUGGCUGAAAGAUGGCGUAAGCUAUCGCUUUUGGAUGGACCCGCGGCGUAUUAGCUAGUUGGUGAGGUAAUGGCUCACCAAGGCGAUGAUACGUAGCCGAACUGAGAGGUUGAUCGGCCACAUUGGGACUGAGACACGGCCCAAACUCCUACGGGAGGCAGCAGUAGGGAAUCUUCCACAAUGGACGCAAGUCUGAUGGAGCAACGCCGCGUGAGUGAAGAAGGCUUUCGGGUCGUAAAACUCUGUUGUUGGAGAAGAAUGGUCGGCAGAGUAACUGUUGUCGGCGUGACGGUAUCCAACCAGAAAGCCACGGCUAACUACGUGCCAGCAGCCGCGGUAAUACGUAGGUGGCAAGCGUUAUCCGGGAUUUAUUGGGCGUAAAGCGAGCGCAGGCGGUUUUUUAAGUCUGAUGUGAAAGCCCUCGGCUUAACCGAGGAAGCGCAUCGGAAACUGGGAAACUUGAGUGCAGAAGAGGACAGUGGAACUCCAUGUGUAGCGGUGAAAUGCGUAGAUAUAUGGAAGAACACCAGUGGCGAAGGCGGCUGUCUGGUCUGUAACUGACGCUGAGGCUCGAAAGCAUGGGUAGCGAACAGGAUUAGAUACCCUGGUAGUCCAUGCCGUAAACGAUGAAUGCUAGGUGUUGGAGGGUUUCCGCCCUUCAGUGCCGCAGCUAACGCAUUAAGCAUUCCGCCUGGGGGAGUACGACCGCACGGUUGAAACUCAAAGGAAUUGACGGGGGCCCGCACAAGCGGUGGAGCAUGUGGUUUAAUUCGAAGCAACGCGAAGAACCUUACCAGGUCUUGACAUCUUUUGAUCACCUGAGAGAUCAGGUUUCCCCUUCGGGGGCAAAAUGACAGGUGGUGCAUGGUUGUCGUCAGCUCGUGUCGUGAGAUGUUGGGUUAAGUCCCGCAACGAGCGCAACCCUUAUGACUAGUUGCCAGCAUUUAGUUGGGCACUCUAGUAAGACUGCCGGUGACAAACCGGAGGAAGGUGGGGAUGACGUCAAAUCAUCAUGCCCCUUAUGACCUGGGCUACACACGUGCUACAAUGGAUGGUACAACGAGUUGCGAGACCGCGAGGUCAAGCUAAUCUCUUAAAGCCAUUCUCAGUUCGGACUGUAGGCUGCAACUCGCCUACACGAAGUCGGAAUCGCUAGUAAUCGCGGAUCAGCACGCCGCGGUGAAUACGUUCCCGGGCCUUGUACACACCGCCCGUCACACCAUGAGAGUUUGUAACACCCGAAGCCGGUGGCGUAACCCUUUUAGGGAGCGAGCCGUCUAAGGUGGGACAAAUGAUUAGGGUGAAGUCGUAACAAGUAGCCGAGAUCA